GUUGUGGCUCAGGGGUAGAGCACUUGCCUAGCAUGUGUAAGGCACUGGGUUCAAUCCUCAGCACCACA
RNAcentral lists this transfer RNA (68 nucleotides) under Marmota monax (woodchuck). Its description in RNAcentral is "tRNA.Ala". Lineage: Eukaryota; Metazoa; Chordata; Mammalia; Rodentia; Sciuridae. The record is from RNAcentral.